RNAcentral lists this long non-coding RNA (2529 nucleotides) under Octopus sinensis (East Asian common octopus). RNAcentral's name for it is "uncharacterized LOC118763622". The record is from RNAcentral. Lineage: Eukaryota; Metazoa; Mollusca; Cephalopoda; Octopoda; Octopodidae.
UUCUGGUAUAUGUAUAAACACACAAAACAUUAGGCUAUUUCUAUAUAUAUGAUACUGCUUCAAGCUGAUUUAAUCUUUGGUUUUUGGAUGUAUAUUAUUAGAUUUGAACACUAAUUAUAACCAGAUUAUAUCAUGUCACUGCAGUAACAAAAUAUAAAUAAAAUUUUACAUCUCUGAUCUUGUGUGACAGUUAUGUAACAUACAUAUGAUGUAAUACACCCUUAACAUGUAUGUGUGUGUGUAUGACUGAAUGCUCAUCAAUCAUUUUAAUUCAAAUUCAAUUCAACUACACAUUUAUAUCUCUCAUAACUGAGGAGUUAUUACUGGUCAUAUUAUUUAUUUAUUUAUCUUCAAUAUACUUUUAAUUGGUAUAUCAGUUCUGAUACAUGCUUUAGAUAUCUUUUCUGAAAAUUCAUUUUCGCAUGUUGAAUAAGAAAGAAGCCCUUCUUUUGUGAACUACAGUUAAAUUUUGAAAGUUUCUUGCUGUUAGCAUGAACUUUAGUAUGUUUACAUUGACUCCAUAGCAAGGACUUCUGUAAUACAAAGGAGCUACUGCACAAUCGCUUGAUUUACUAGAAAUAACAGCCACAUAUCCCCCAAUUCACAGCCUACACAUACACAUUCAUCGACACACAUCUUAAAAAAAGAGGCAUAGAUGUAGUAGACAAUAUAGUUUUAGAUAUAUUGUCUGACAUGAUGGCCAUUACUGGAAUGUGUUUGAUCAUAGACCUGCUCAAUCUCAGGGCUGUCCUGAGACUGAAAAAGAUACAUUAGAUAAUAUGAUCUCUGUUAUAUAAAAUGAAAAUAUGGUUAAGGCUGGAUUAUCUUGGGUUUGUUAAAUCUUGGCUGAGUAGAGCUGAAAACAACUUCAGAUAAUAUCACUUAACAUCAGAGACAAAAAAGAACCCUGUUAUUUUCACUCUGUUACUGCAUUUAUGAAUAGCUUGAAGCUGUGUAUUAUAUCACUUUUCAUUAAUCAGUCAUUCUUAAUUUAUAGCUUUCAUUACUGAAUUUAUACUAUUGAGAUGGCAAUUUUGCAAAGGACUGAGAGAGCAAUAGUGAGAGAAAUGUGUGGGAUGAAGCUGUUUGAUAAGAGGAGGACUGAAUAUUUGAUGGGAAUGCUGGUAUUGGAGGAAUCGGUGGAAUGGUUGGCAAGGGCAAAUGGAGUGAGGUGGUAUGGGUAUGUGUAGAGGAGGGAUAAAGAGCAUGUUCUGAGGAGGGUGAUUGCGUUUGAGGUAAAUGAAGCACGAAAGCGAGGUAACCGAGGAAAAGGUGAAGGGGACAGGUGGAGGGGACAGGCGGAGGAGGAGAUUAGGAGGGUUGGUUUGAAAAAAGAGGACACCAAAAACUGGGCAAGAUGGUGAGAUGGUGUGAGGGCGAUUGCUUUGGCAUUGAGGUAGACCUGGCCACCCCACUUAACAGGGGACAAAACCCAGAUUUAAAACACUGGAUAAUGAUGAUGACGACAACCACCACCACCACUACCACCACCUCGUCCUUCUCCUCCUCCUCCUCCUUCUUCUUCUUCUUCUUGUAGCCUGGUUAGUGAAACAUAUUACUGUAAUAAAUUAGUUAUUGUUAUGAUUUUCAAUACUGAGCUUUUAUUUUUGAUUCUCUACACUUCUGAAUAGUGUGUGACAUCAUGUUAAGAUCUAAAAGUUUGUACAUAUUAUUACUAUUUUUCACUGUCAAGAUUGUAAGAAUUUAGCAACUCCUACUGCUUGACAGUAACAUGUAAUUAGUCACUUGUAUUAAAAAAAAACAAAAAAAAAACGAGAAUUAUACAAUUAAAAUUCAAAAAUGACAGUUACUAAGGUGAUAAAAUCACUAUACAUAAGGUACUAUUUAUUUUUGGCUUAUUAACUGGCUUAAACAGUAGUUUGAAAAUUAUUUGGUGAUUCAAAAUGGUGACCUGCUAAAUAACUUUGUCCAUCUUUACAAAAAAAAAAAAAAAAAAGCAAAAUUUAAAACUAUUCUUGUCUGUGACAUUAGAAGCAAACAAAUUAGUAAUGAUUUCUUUCCACUUUAAAUGUAUACCAGCAAAUGACAUUUUAUUUUGAAAUGCAAUUAUAUUCUAAUAUUGAUUAAUUUCUUGAUGAUGGUUCUACUUAUACAUCAUCAAUCCAAACAUUGUCAUAAGUGCUGAGGUGUAAAUUUAGGCAAGUUGCUGUUUUUGACAUUACCAGUAAUAAAUUCAGUUCUUAACCUUGUGGUUAACUGUUUGACUUCUAUGGCUAGAUGCCCUUCCUGUUUCCAAACAAGGAAAUAUUUCCCAUGGCGAGACAUGGAGAACUGAAAACAAACAACAUGUAUGAUGGAGAUGCUUGUUUAUAGCCAUCACAUGAUGUUAAGAACACAAAUAUGCAUACAAACACAUACAUCUACACACACACACACACAUGAGUAAGCACAUAACUGUGAAACAAGGUGGGAAAAAAUAGUACUCAAAUACCGGAGGUAGAGUAAUAUGCUUUAUUUUUAAAGCUGCAAAACCAUCACAAAAACUGCUGCUCAGAGUUUCAUGUUCCC